CAUUACUGAGUUACCGCUCUACAACCCUUUGUGAACAUACCUAACCGUUGCUUCGGCGGGCAGGGGAAGCCUCUCGCGGGCCUCCCCUCCCGGCGCCGGCCCCACCACGGGGACGGGGCGCCCGCCGGAGGAAACCAAACUCUAUUUACACGACGUCUCUUCUGAGUGGCACAAGCAAAUAAUUAAAACUUUUAACAACGGAUCUCUUGGUUCUGGCAUCGAUGAAGAACGCAGCGAAAUGCGAUAAGUAAUGUGAAUUGCAGAAUUCAGUGAAUCAUCGAAUCUUUGAACGCACAUUGCGCUCGCCAGCAUUCUGGCGAGCAUGCCUGUUCGAGCGUCAUUUCAACCCUCAAGCACCGCUUGGUUUUGGGGCCCCACGGCAGACGUGGGCCCUUAAAGGUAGUGGCGGACCCUCCCGGAGCCUCCUUUGCGUAGUAACUAACGUCUCGCACUGGGAUCCGGAGGGACUCUUGCCGUAAAACCCCCAAAUUCUUUACAGGUUGACCUCGGAUCAGGUAGGAAUACCCGCUGAACUUAAGCAUAUCAAUAAGCGGAG
Molecule: ribosomal RNA, 556 nt
Filed under: Colletotrichum acutatum
Lineage: Eukaryota; Fungi; Ascomycota; Sordariomycetes; Glomerellales; Glomerellaceae
Description: eukaryotic LSU rRNA
Rfam family: 5.8S ribosomal RNA (bases 187-340)
Source: RNAcentral